CCUGGUAGUCCACGCGUAAACGAUGAGUGCUAAGUGUUGGAGGGUUCCGCCUUUCAGUGCUGCAGUUAACGCAUUAAGCACUCCGCUGGGGAGUACGGCCGCAAGGCUGAAACUCAAAGGAAUUGACGGGGGCCCGCACAAGCGGUGGAGCAUGUGGUUUAAUUCGAAGCAACGCGAAGAACCUUACCAGGUCUUGACAUCCUUUGACCACUCUAGAGAUAGAGCUUUCCCUUCGGGGACAAAGUGACAGGUGGUGCAUGGUUGUCGUCAGCUCGUGUCGUGAGAUGUUGGGUUAAGUCCCGCAACGAGCGCAACCCUUAUUGUUAGUUGCCAUCAUUCAGUUGGGCACUCUAGCGAGACUGCCGGUGACAAACCGGAGGAAGGUGGGGAUGACGUCAAAUCAUCAUGCCCCUUAUGACCUGGGCUACACACGUGCUACAAUGGACGGUACAAUGAGUCGCGAGACCGCGAGGUUUAGCUAAUCUCUUAAAGCCGUUCUCAGUUCGGAUUGUAGGCUGCAACUCGCCUACAUGAAGCCGGAAUCGCUAGUAAUCGUGGAUCAGCACGCCACGGUGAAUACGUUCCCGGGCCUUGUACACACCGCCCGUCACACCACGAGAGUUUGUAACACCCAAAGUCGGUGAGGUAACCUUUUGGAGCCAGCCGCCUAAGGUGGGAUAGAUGAUUGGGGUGAAGUCGUAACAAGGUAACCA
Molecule: ribosomal RNA, 713 nt
Filed under: uncultured Vagococcus sp.
Lineage: Bacteria; Bacillati; Bacillota; Bacilli; Lactobacillales; Enterococcaceae
Description: bacterial SSU rRNA
Rfam family: Bacterial small subunit ribosomal RNA
Source: RNAcentral